GCGGAUGUGAUGUAGUAGGUAGCAUCUGAGUAUGCCAAUUUCAGUGCGCGAGUUCGAGUCUCGCCAUCCGCU
Molecule: transfer RNA, 72 nt
Filed under: Symploca sp. SIO2C1
Lineage: Bacteria; Bacillati; Cyanobacteriota; Cyanophyceae; Coleofasciculales; Coleofasciculaceae
Description: tRNA-Gly
Rfam family: tRNA
About the family: Transfer RNA (tRNA) molecules are approximately 80 nucleotides in length. Their secondary structure includes four short double-helical elements and three loops (D, anti-codon, and T loops).
Source: RNAcentral